This 907-nucleotide ribosomal RNA is filed under the name uncultured delta proteobacterium. RNAcentral describes it as "bacterial SSU rRNA". It matches the Rfam family "Bacterial small subunit ribosomal RNA", at positions 8 to 899 of the family's 1533-position model. Lineage: Bacteria; Deltaproteobacteria. The record is from RNAcentral.
AGAGUUUGAUCAUGGCUCAGAGCGAACGUUAGCGGCGGGCCUAACACAUGCAAGUCGAACGAGAAAGCUCCUUCGGGAGUGAUUAAAGUGGCGCACGGGUGAGGAACGCGUAGGUAAUCCACCCUCUGGCGGGGGACAACACUCCGAAAGGAAUGCUAAUACCGCGUAAGACCACGCUCACUUCGGUGAAAGCGGUUAAAGGUGCCUCAAAGCACCACCAGAGGACGAGCCUGCGUCCCAUCAGCUUGUUGGUAAGGUAAUGGCUUACCAAGGCGAAGACGGGUAGCUGGUCUGAGAGGAUGAUCAGCCACACUGGCACUGGAACACGGGCCAGACUCCUACGGGAGGCAGCAGUGAGGAAUAUUGGGCAAUGGGCGAAAGCCUGACCCAGCCACGCCGCGUGUGUGAUGAAGGCCUUCGGGUCGUAAAGCACUGUGGGGAGAGACGAAACAGCGCAGGAGGAAAUGCCUGCGCCUUGACGGUACCUCCUUAGCAAGCACCGGCUAACUCUGUGCCAGCAGCCGCGGUAAUACAGAGGGUGCAAACGUUGCUCGGAUUUACUGGGCGUAAAGCGCGUGUAGGCGGACUCGCAAGUCGGUUGUGAAAUCCCUGGGCUCAACCUAGGAACUGCAUCCGAAACUGCUUGUCUUGAGUAAUGGAGAGGGUGGCGGAAUUCCCGGUGUAGAGGUGAAAUUCGUAGAUAUCGGGAGGAACACCAGUGGCGAAGGCGGCCACCUGGACAUUUACUGACGCUGAGACGCGAAAGCGUGGGGAGCAAACAGGAUUAGAUACCCUGGUAGUCCACGCCGUAAACGAUGAGAACUAGGUGCAGCGGAUAUUGACCUCUGCUGUGCCGUAGCUAACGCGUUAAGUUCUCCGCCUGGGGAGUACGGCCGCAAGGCUAAAA